GACGAACGCUGGCGGCGUGCUUAACACAUGCAAGUCGAACGAUGAAGCUGGAGCUUGCUCCGGUGGAUUAGUGGCGAACGGGUGAGUAACACGUGAGCAAUCUGCCCUUCACUCUGGGAUAACUGCGGGAAACUGUAGCUAAUACCGGAUACUUUCCCUGGUGGGCAUCCACUAGGGAAGAAAGAAUUUCGGUGAAGGAUGAUCUCGCGGCCUACCAGCUAGUUGGUGAGGUAAUGGCUCACCAAGGCGACGACGGGUAGCCGGCCUGAGAGGGUGACCGGCCACACUGGGACUGAGACACGGCCCAGACUCCUACGGGAGGCAGCAGUGGGGAAUAUUGCACAAUGGGCGAAAGCCUGAUGCAGCAACGCCGCGUGAGGGAUGAAGGCCUUCGGGUUGUAAACCUCUUUUAGCAGGGAAGAAGCGAAAGUGACGGUACCUGCAGAAAAAGCACCGGCUAACUACGUGCCAGCCGCCGCAGUAA
Molecule: ribosomal RNA, 484 nt
Filed under: uncultured bacterium
Lineage: Bacteria
Description: partial 16S ribosomal RNA
Rfam family: Bacterial small subunit ribosomal RNA
Source: RNAcentral